ACGGAGCACCUUUCUGUACAAGAGCGAAAGUGCUUCGGGCGGAAAUACACCGCUGUGAGCGCUUAAAGACCGCGCGCACCUCGCUCACGUGCGUUCGACGCCGGCAUCACCCCUUCUACACACUCCGAAUAGAACGGCAUCGAACUGACGCAAGACAAGCGAGGUUACAGUUUCAAGAAAUUAAACUAAAACCAAAACGAACAAAAAAGGAGUGGUACACUGCACGUACGUCCUGACAGUUGGCGUGCGUAUUCUCGCGUGCACACGGCCACUCUCAGAGACGCGUUCGCCCCGUCCAUACUCGCCCGCUGCAAACCCAGAGAGCUGACAGGGAACGACCCGUCACUAAAACGUGGAUUGUAGCUGCUGACGCUUUCCGAUGGACGUGCUGGGAGCGUUUAGUCGGUGGCCGCGCCCGUUGCAGUCGAGGUGGCUACUGCUGCUGUUGCUGCUGUAUCGCGUGACUCUCUGUAUGACGUUGCAGACGGCGGAGUCGCCCGAUGAAUGGUGGCAGAGUGAGGAGGUCGCAUACAAAAUGGUGUUUGGCCGUGGGCAGCUCACGUGGGAGUGGGACGAGGCCAUUCGGUCCUAUGUCUUUCCGGCAAUUUUCGCAGCUCCGCUGCUCGUGCUCAAGUGCACAGGGACGGACACCGCGUUGACAGUGUGGGCCUCCAGUCGGUGUGUGCAGGCUUUCAUCUUCUUUGCGCAUGACUGCACCAUGCUCGCCCUCGCACAGCGCCUCGACGACCUUCGGCGCUGCCUGAACUCGAGGAGGUCAGGCCGCCACGCGUUCUCCGCCCCUCUCUUCUCCACCGUCAGUGAAUCCACCGGUGCGAAAUGCCGCACACCGACCAUUGCGUCAACAACGCUGGCCAUGGUGGUGGUGGAGUGGUUCCUCAUCAACACAGGAGUGCGCAGCUACUCCAACGUGCCGGAGUCUCUCUUCUUCCUGCUGUCUCUCUACCAGACAAGCUACCCGUUGUUUCUGCUUUGGGCCGGUGUGGCGUGCGCAAUGCGCGUAACGGCGGCGUUUGCGGCGCUGCCGGUUUUUAUCGUGCACGCAUGGCGCUUAUGUGGCGAGAUGGGCGUCGCGCGUUGUCUUCUUAUUGCUUUCACCACAGUCAGCAUGGUGGUCGGCAUCAGUGCCGGGGUCUGCUUCGUCGACUAUAUUUUUUACCAUCGUCUCGUCUUCACCCCGUAUAACUUUCUGAAGUUUAACUAUUUGCUGGGUGUGAGCAAAUACUAUGGGGUUCAUGCGCCGUAUUGGUACUUCGUCACGCUGCCGGCCAUGGCCGCCCCAUUCGUCUUUUUUCUUGUGUGGAUGCCUGUGUGCUGGUGCUGGAUGCAGGAGGCGGAGAAGCACCACAUGAGCGGCUCGGCACCGCAUGCGCAGAGCACGCUAUUUUCCGGCUCUUCUUCGCGGACACUGCGGCAAGAAAUAAAGCGGUGGGCUUUUGUAGGUGCGCCGACACUGAUGAUUUACAGCAGUCUUGAGCAUAAGGAGAUGCGGUUCGUCUACUUUCUGCUCCCGCUGCUCCUCCUGAUAUCCAGUGUGGUCGUCGUCUUCCUCUGCACCAGUUCUCUGUCGGCGCUGAAGCAAUCGAGUAGAGUGCGACGACGGUCUUGGUGCCUUGCCGUGCCGUCUGCUGACAUGGUGCGGCGCCUCUUCACGCUCUCCUGGGCUGCGAGUGCGGUCUUCACGAUUACGCUCCUGUACGGCUACCGCCGCGGCGCCCCGACGCUGUUCCGCGAAAUUCGUGGCGCCGACCGACACUUUGGUCACCUGGAAACGCUCGCGCACUGCUACAGGACGCCUGGAUUUGCGCAGCUGCACGGCAAGGUAGAUCGACUAGAGUGGGUAGACUGCCGGAUGAGGUUAGAUGCCGUCUCGGGGGUACCAGUGGUGACGCAGGACCGCCUAUUUACGGAGCAGCCGAAAGCCUACGCGUUGUGGCGCUACCUACGCGUCGCUUCGAGGCUUGACGUCGAGGACGGGGGUAAGGAGAGUGUUGGCAAGCUGUCGAAGGAUGCGUGGUGGCGAGAGAUGCUCCGCGUAAUGCCGAAAGGCGAAGCCCCUGCUUUGCCAGACGCCAUCAUCCUCUUCCAGAAUACGGCCAUCUUGCUCGAGGCGGAUCUUUUGCGACCAAUGGGCUACCGCCGACUUGUGGUCGUGUUUCACACACUGCACAGCUUCGAAGAGCACGAGGACCGCUAUCUCGAGUUGUGGUCCCGGGAAACAGCGCAGAAAAGCGAAUCGUGAGAUGGUGCGCAGAGGCGCUUCGGCGUUGGCAAGCGAGCAGCCCUUCUGAUAUCGUCUUUAUCAUUAUUACUUUGCUAUGUUUUUUUUUUUUUUGUAAGGCCGCUCAUACGGUUCGUUUACUGCUGAUCCCUUCCGCCUAUGGUAAUCGUUUCUGUAACGCCUCUCGCUCUUUCCUUUCUUCUCUUUUCUUGCUGUAUUUUUUUUUUCCGGUUAGGGUACAUUUUUGCUUUAUCGGACGAGAGAGACAACAACCGCAAAAAAAAAAACACUAAAACUCAGCAUCACCAGCGAAGCGAAAACAAAAAUAAAAAGGGGCGGCUGUUGAGGAUGGAAAAGACAGCAGACGGAGUGCGAGAAGCAACUCGCGUUAGAGACUGUUGUGAGUAAUUUUUUUGCUGUCACGAGUGGGUAAGACGGAAUACGCUGCUUAGGCGGCGCGCUGCUGUACAGCAGGAGCGCGCUGAGCCUUUUCUGUGCAUCGCCACUACCUUCUUAAUGACCCGACCUUACCCCACCUCCUCGAAAGUUCUGGAGUGCGUGCAGAUCUUUCCGGUGUGGUGUGCACACAUGCGCGUCUGUCUUGUUUCUGCGCUGUGUGAGUCCCGCUUCCCAUGACGCAUACCUCUGCUGCGGCCGGCUGCUCCCCUCCCUCCGCCCUCUUUGCAG
RNAcentral lists this unclassified non-coding RNA (2926 nucleotides) under Leishmania donovani. RNAcentral describes it as "gene:LdHU3.36.1600(CDS-product:GPI_alpha-mannosyl transferase_III)". Lineage: Eukaryota; Euglenozoa; Kinetoplastea; Trypanosomatida; Trypanosomatidae. The record is from RNAcentral.